UGGGGAAUUUUGGACAAUGGGGGCAACCCUGAUCCAGCGACGCCGCGUGGAGGACGAAGGUCUUCGGAUUGUAAACUCCUUUUGAGGGGGAUGAAUGCCUGCGUGAAUAACGCAGGGUGACAGUACUCCUCGAAUAAGCCACGGCUAACUACGUGCCAGCAGCCGCGGUAAUACGUAGGUGGCAAGCGAUACUCGGAAUCACUAGGCGUAAAGCGCAGGUAGGCGGUUCGGUAAGUCUUUUGUGAAAGCUCCCGGCUUAACUGGGAGAGGCCAAAGGAAACUACCGAGCUGGAGUGUGGCAGAGGAAACUGGAAUUCCCGGUGUAGCGGUGAAAUGCGUAGAUAUCGGGAGGAAUACCUAUGGCGAAAGCAGGUUUCUGGGCCAUCACUGACGCUGAUCUGCGAAAGCUAGGGGAGCAAACAGGAUUAGAUACCCCCGUAGUCC
This 444-nucleotide ribosomal RNA is filed under the name uncultured bacterium. Its description in RNAcentral is "bacterial SSU rRNA". It matches the Rfam family "Bacterial small subunit ribosomal RNA", at positions 355 to 796 of the family's 1533-position model. The record is from RNAcentral.